UACGUAGGGCGCAAGCGUUGUCCGGAAUUAUUGGGCGUAAAGAGCUCGUAGGCGGCCUGUUGCGUCCGCUGUGAAAUCCCGGGGCUCAACCCCGGGCGUGCAGUGGAUACGGGCUGGCUAGAGGCAGGCAGGGGAGAACGGAAUUCCCGGUGUAGCGGUGAAAUGCGCAGAUAUCGGGAGGAACACCGGUGGCGAAGGCGGUUCUCUGGGCCUGUACUGACGCUGAGGAGCGAAAGCGUGGGGAGCGAACAGG
Molecule: ribosomal RNA, 253 nt
Filed under: uncultured bacterium
Lineage: Bacteria
Description: partial 16S ribosomal RNA
Rfam family: Bacterial small subunit ribosomal RNA
Source: RNAcentral